RNAcentral lists this ribosomal RNA (490 nucleotides) under uncultured bacterium. RNAcentral describes it as "partial 16S ribosomal RNA". It matches the Rfam family "Bacterial small subunit ribosomal RNA", at positions 30 to 507 of the family's 1533-position model. The record is from RNAcentral.
AUUGAACGCUGGCGGCAGGCCUAACACAUGCGAGUCGAACGGUAACAGGAAGAAGCUUGCUUCUUUGCUGACGGGUGGCGGACGGGUGAGUAAUGUCUGGGAAACUGCCUGAUGGAGGGGGAUAACUACUGGAAACGGUAGCUAAUACCGCAUAACGUCGCAAGACCAAAAAGGGGGACCUUCGGGCCUCUUGCCAUCGGAUGUGCCCAGAUGGGAUUAGCUAGUAGGUGGGGUAACGGCUCACCUAGGCGACGAUCCCUAGCUGGUCUGAGAGGAUGACCAGCCACACUGGAACUGAGACACGGUCCAGACUCCUACGGGAGGCAGCAGUGGGGAAUAUUGCACAAUGGGCGCAAGCCUGAUGCAGCCAUGCCGCGUGUAUGAAGAAGGCCUUCGGGUUGUAAAGUACUUUCAGCGGGGAGGAAGGGAGUAAAGUUAAUACCUUUGCUCAUUGACGUUACCCGCAGAAGAAGCACCGGCUAACUCCGUG